GGCUUAGAGUUUGAUCCUGGCUCAGAACGAACGCUGGCGGCAGGCUUAAUACAUGCAAGUCGAACGGCUGUAGCAAUACAGCAGUGGCAGACGGGUGAGUAACACGUGGGAACCUACCUAGGGGUACGGAAUAACUCAGGGAAACUUGUGCUAAUACCGUAUACGACCUUCGGGUGAAAGAUUUAUCGCCCCUAGAUGGGCCCGCGCUGGAUUAGCUAGUUGGUGGGGUAAAAGCCUACCAAGGCGACGAUCCAUAGCUGGUCUGAGAGGAUGAUCAGCCACACUGGGACUGAGACACGGCCCAGACUCCUACGGGAGGCAGCAGUAGGGAAUCUUGGACAAUGGGCGAAAGCCUGAUCCAGCCAUGCCGCGUGAGAGAUGAAGGCCUUAGGGUUGUAAAGCUCUUUCGCC
Molecule: ribosomal RNA, 411 nt
Filed under: uncultured bacterium
Lineage: Bacteria
Description: SSU rRNA
Rfam family: Bacterial small subunit ribosomal RNA
Source: RNAcentral